AGGACGAACGCUGGCGGCGUGCUUAACACAUGCAAGUCGAGCGGAAAGGCCUUUCGGGGUACUCGAGCGGCGAACGGGUGAGUAACACGUGAGUAAUCUGCCCAUCGCUUCAGGAUAGCCAUCGGAAACGGUGAUUAAUACUGGAUAUGACAUUCCUUCGCAUGUUGGGGUGUGGAAAGUUUUUUCGGCGGUGGAUGUGCUCGCGGCCUAUCAGCUUGUUGGUGGGGUAAUGGCCUACCAAGGCUUUGACGGGUAGCCGGCCUGAGAGGGUGACCGGGCCACACUGGGACUGAGACACGGCCCAGACUCCUACGGGAGGCAGCAGUGGGGAAUAGUUGGACAAUGGGGCGGAAGCCUGAUCCAGCAACGCCGCGUGAGGGAUGACGGCCUUCGGGUU
This 397-nucleotide ribosomal RNA is filed under the name uncultured soil bacterium. RNAcentral describes it as "bacterial SSU rRNA". It matches the Rfam family "Bacterial small subunit ribosomal RNA", at positions 26 to 424 of the family's 1533-position model. The record is from RNAcentral.